AGAGGAGCGUGUUGGACUCCCAGCCAAACAAAAGGGCUGCCCGCAACUUGCCUAAAAUAGAAAGUAAAAGUUAGCCACAGCCUGGCGCCUGGCAGGCCCCUCUUCGGAGCCCUCUGUGGAGCAGCGAGGACCUCGGCAGGAUGCUGUCCCAGAGCCUCUCUGGAGAAGUACAUAAGCUCCGGAGGCAGUAAAAGCAGAAGCUCAAGCCCCCUGACUCCGCUUCCCACCUGAGAGGCGCAGGUUUGCCCAUCAAAUUCACCUGACACGGGAGUGGCUUUGCUUUGUUCUGCUGCAGAAAUUCAAAUCGCAAACGUUUUGGUUCUUUUUAAAGAUCGUUGGAGAAUGGUACAUAUUACAAGAGCUUUAUUUAAUGGAGGAGUUAUUGGCGAGGUAAUAAACUGCUAAUUUGGGGUCAAGCCUUGCCUGCGAACUGUGAAGGACUUGGAUUCAAAUCCCAGCUUUGCCACUUCCUGUCCGUGUGCCCUCAGCCUCUCCGAGCUCCGGGUCAAACGGCGAGGGUAAUUCCUGUCAUCCUGGUGUGGUGUGAGGAUCAGCAAUCCGGGUGAGGAAGGGCCGGCCUGCACGUAGGCAGGGCUUAGGGACCUCCGCUUCCAUCCCGCUCUGGCCAAGAGAAGGCAGGUGGCUCGCUGCACCUCGCCAGCUCACCUGAGAGGCUGGCAAAGGGAGGGAGGGGGAAGGAGGCAGUGAGAGAAGAAAGGAGAGGGUGGGGGUAGGAAGGAAAGGAAACCCCCAAGCAGGUUCUAAUCCUCACAUAGCGUCUUAUUAAUGUUCCUCACGGAAUUUGCACCCCAACUGCCCGGCUGACCGUAACACGGAUGCCCGCAUCCCCUCGUGCGCUCGCAAACGGUUCACACGAAACCGACACGGCAAAGUCACGCCCUCGCGCUGAAGCCGACUUUCCGAUUUUGAAAGCUUGUCUCUCCCAUAUAAAAGGCUUUGUUUUUUCUUUUCGCGCGCUUCUGCCUCCCCCGGCCGGCCCUCCCGCCCCUCCCUCACGGCGCGCACACAAAAGAAGCCCGGAGCGGAGGUACCGGAACCUGCGGGCUUGUUUACCACUCGGGCGGCCGGCGAGGCGCUGCCCGGCGCCGCCACCUACCGGCGGGAGACGGCGCUGCGCCCGGGCGCGGGCCAAGCGCUGCGGGCCGAUGACCCAACGCCGCAGAAUGCCACCCAGAAGGCUGGGCAAGUCAGGAGACCUCACUGGCUGGUCUGCGGACCUCUUGCGAAGGUCUCCGGGGGCCCGGGGCCGGAAGGCAAUGGCUGCCCCUUCUCACUGCCUCCUCCCAAACGCAGGUCCUGCCCACUGAUGAUGGUCAUUUGGUAGAUACCAAUUGAGCAACUACUGUGCGCCGGACCUGGGAAUACAAAGAUGAGAGAACCAGCCUGGAUUCUUGCCCACCAAGGAGACGCCUGCCUCUCCAGCUUGUUGACUCAAUGAUCUCAAAAGCCUUCAUUGGAGUCUCAAUUUCCUCACCUGUGAAGGUGGGCAUACCAACAGUUUCUACACAGCAAGACCGUGUGAAGAUUAGAUGAGCUCAUGCACAUAGAUGACUGGGACCUUAGCUUCUUCCAUGCCCCUGGGCAGGGGUAACAUUCAAAAUAUUAAAUAACCUGGAAGGCAC
Long non-coding RNA from Equus caballus (horse), 1643 nucleotides. The record is from Ensembl. NCBI's taxonomy places the organism in Eukaryota, Metazoa, Chordata, Mammalia, Perissodactyla, Equidae.